UAUUAAAGAAGACGAAGGUUUCAAUAGGUGCACUGAUUCUUCGAUGCGCUGGUAGAACAGAUGGUUAUGAAUAUGGGUGGCUUCUUAAGCAUAAUGAUGUGACUAAUUCUGAAUCCAGGAUGCAUUUAGCCUUGUUGAUGAUACCUCAUGUAAAAGAACGUGAUGUGAAGACGAUUAAGAAGGUUUUUGAUUGGUCUCAAAACAAUCUACCCGCUAAUCUGUUGGGAGUUUUCGUGAAUGAGGAACUUACAGAUCCUCAAUUUUUGAAGGAUUGGUUGUGUAAGUCCAGUAGAGCUAUAUUCAACUCAGAAAAUCCCCUUUUCCUGGCACGUCCAAAUGAUCCUACGAGGUUCUAUCUGAACCACGGUAAAUUUCCAAACUUGCUUUUUCUGCAUACGAUAUUACUGAAAUAAUGACACUAGUAUAUAAUGGAACUAAUACCAUUUCUUUCAUAUAUACAUGUGCAUAAACAGAGCUCAUCCCACAAUUCUUUCACCGUGAAUGUGUGAAAUUUGCUGGAGAAGUGAUGGCAUUAGCUUUGAUAUAUAAAGUGAGAGUAGGUGUCACAUUGGAUCCAGAGUUGCUAUCGCCCUUGAAGGAUUCGUCUUUGGAUAGUAAGAGCCUGGUAAGUUCAAUAAUUCACAAGAUUUGAGAUUCUUUUCAAGAGAAUUUGUGAUACCGCAAGGUUCUUGAACUUUCCACUGUUAUCCACAAGCAGGUAUCUUGUUUCUCAAGUGGCUUUUUGAAUGUUUUUGGUGUGCCAAUCGAAGAAUUGAGGCUUGUUGGAGGUUUAGAGAUUGAAGACAUUAAUAAAGAGUUGCAUGGACCCCGGAGAUCUAAUCAUAGUGCAGACAGUACUAAUGGCAAAAGGAAGAAGUAAGUUGAUACCGAUCCUCUAUUGUCUUAUUACCAAAGGGUAGGGGCUUUUCCCUAUGUAUGUUCUAGCUUUCUGUUGCAUAACACUUUGUAGGGUUUGGGUCUCUCCAGCCAUUCUAUAGUUUUCCUAGUCUAAGUUUGUUAUUGUUAAAUUGUGAUUAGUACUAAUGUGACAAAACUGGACUUCAACCUAGACUUUGUAGGCUUUGGGUCUCCUCAGCCCUUCUAUAGUUUUCCUAGUUUACGUUUUGUUAUUGUUAAAUUGUGAUUGGUACUAAUGUGACAAAACUGGACUUCAGCCAAUGCUAUGGUACCAUAUUACAAUUUUUAGAAGGGUUCUUAAGCUUGGGCCAACCAAUAUUAAAAUAUUAGUACUAACCAAUUAGGUAGGCAACUUUCCACCCUUGUAUGUUUUUCAUAGAUGGUUAUUUAUUCAAUUUGGGAUUCUUAACAAUAGUACUGGUCAGUGCCUAACAAUAGCAGAAAUGUUAGUCCUAUUACUUUCAACAAUAGUGCCAAAAGUGCUCAAUUCAUCUUCAACUUGCAAGAACUUACUCCAAUAAGUUGAAGACCAGUUUUCUCACAUCAGUACUAAUCACUAUUCAACUUGCAAGAACUUAAUCUACCAAGUUGAGAUGAGUUUAGAAGUUUUAGCACUCAUGCAGAAAACAUGUUGAAUACUUGGCAGGUCAAAAUACUGGGUCGUGAUAUUCAGAAUUGGCAAAGGGGCUCAAUGUUGGGGAGUGGGUCAUUUGGAGAAGUCUAUAAAGUAAUGGCUGAUCCUCAUGGGUUCCUUUUUGCUGCAAAGAAAGUUCCACUUACUGAUGCACAAAAAGUCAGCUCAAUUGAGCGUGAGAUUGAUUUAUUAUGUCACCUACGUCAUGAAAAUAUAGUUGAAUAUUUUGGCACAAAAAGGGACGAAACAGAUCUCUAUGUGUUUCUUGAGUUUGUAAAUGGGGGCUCCAUUGAGAAAGUUUAUCGAGAGUUUCCCCUUAAUGAUUCCCAAGUGUCCUACUACACCAAAGAGAUACUAAAAGGUUUGGAGUAUCUCCAUGAGCAAGAUGUUGUGCAUGGGGACAUUAAAUGUGCAAACUUACUGUUGAAUGAGAAUGGAGUCGUGAAAAUUGCUGAUUUUGGAUUAGCAAAGGUAACUGACUUGAAGACUCUUCGCAAGUCAGGUAGAGGGACUCCAGCCUGGUGCGCUCCUGAGGUCAUUAAUUUGAAGAGACAAGGAUGGAAUGGAUUCCAAGCUGAUAUAUGGAGUCUUGGCUGCACUGUCUUGGAGAUGUUAACUAAAAACCACCCGUACUAUGGUUUAGAACCUUGGACGAUAUGGUAUCAGAUUGGAGAAGGUAUACUGCCUAAAAUUCCUCAGACUCUCUCUGAGGAUUCGCAGAAAUUUAUUCUGAAAUGCCUGCAAGUUAAUCCAGAGAAACGUCCGACUGCCACCGAGCUUUUAAAGCAUAGAUUUGUUAAUAGGUCAUAGCAAGCAGCAGAACAUACCAAACUUCGUGUUAGUUUCAGCUUAAAUUGUGGAAUUUACUCAAUGUUUAACAGCAGUUUUUUCUUUAGUGCUAAAGGUUUGCUUCAGAUUUAUUUUUAGAUUGCUCAUCCUUUAUUAUAGAAUAUUAUUAUUUGUCAUUAUCAUUGAUAAAAUAUCUGUUGUUUUUAGGAUCAUUAACAUUGCUAAAAUUAGAAUAUAUAAUUGUUAACCAGAAUAUUUUGAUGCAAACAGAUAAAUACUUGUUUGGUUAUUUUACAGCUAUGUCAAUUGAAGCAACUAAGUCUGUACAGUCUACAUCAUUUGAUAGCUCCAGUCCAACAGCAUCAUUUGGAAGUUACGAAACAGCCACACCAAUAGAGAGUUUUGAACCUCUUAUAAUGUUUAAAAAACAGCAAUUCACAUGUGUAGAAAUAGACUGUGAGUGAUUCAGCACCAGAUGAGGAAUUGAUAAACAACUCAACAGAGGAGGAUAUNNNNNNNNNNNNNNNNNUCUACUGAGUUGGGAUGAGUUUGGAAGUUUUAGCACUCAUGUAGAAAGCAUGUUGAAUACUUGGCAGGUCAAAAUACUGGGUCGUGAUAUUCAGAAUUGGCAAAGGGGCUCAAUGUUGGGGAGUGGGUCAUUUGGAGAAGUCUAUAAAGGAAUGGAUGAUCCUCAUGGGUUCUUUUUUGCUGCAAAGAAAGUUCCACUUACUGAUGCACAAAAAGUCAGCUCAAUUGAGCGUGAGAUUGAUUUAUUAUGUCACCUACGUCAUGAAAAUAUAGUUGAAUAUUUUGGCACAAAAAGGGACGAAACGGAUCUCUAUGUUUUUCUUGAGUUUGUAAAUGGGGGCUCCAUUGAUAAAGUUUAUCGAGAGUUUCCCCUUAAUGAUUCCCAAGUGUCCUACUACACCAAAGAAAUACUGAAAGGUUUGGAGUAUCUCCAUGGAGAAGGUUUUGUGCAUGGGGACAUUAAAUGUGCAAACUUACUGUUGAAUGAGAAUGGAGUCGUGAAAAUUGCUGAUUUUGGAUUAGCAAAGGUAACUGACUUGAAGACUCUUCGCAAGUCAGGUAGAGGGACUCCAGCCUGGUGCGCUCCUGAGGUCAUUAAUUUGAAGAGACAAGGAUGGAAUGGAUUCCAAGCUGAUAUAUGGAGUCUUGGCUGCACUGUCUUGGAGAUGUUAACUAAAAACCACCCGUACUAUGGUUUAGAACCUUGGACGAUAUGGUAUCAGAUUGGAGAAGGUAUACUGCCUAAAAUUCCUGAGACUCUCUCUGAGGAUUCGCAGAAAUUUAUUCUGAAAUGCCUGCAAGUUAAUCCAGAGAAACGUCCGACUGCCACCGAGCUUUUAAAGCAUAGAUUUGUUAAUAGGUCAUAGCAAGCAGCAGAACAUACCAAACUUCGUGUUAGUUUCAGCUUAAAUUGUGGAAUUUACUCAAUGUUUAACAGCAGUUUUUUCUUUAGUGCUAAAGGUUUGCUUCAGAUUUAUUUUUAGAUUGCUCAUCCUUUAUUAUAGAAUAUUAUUAUUUGUCAUUAUCAUUGAUAAAAUAUCUGUUGUUUUUAGGAUCAUUAACAUUGCUAAAAUUAGAAUAUAUAAUUGUUAACCAGAAUAUUUUGAUGCAAACAGAUAAAUACUUGUUUGGUUAUUUUACAGCUAUGUCAAUUGAAGCAACUAAGUCUGUACAGUCUACAUCAUUUGAUAGCUCCAGUCCAACAGCAUCAUUUGGAAGUUACGAAACAGCCACACCAAUAGAGAGUUUUGAACCUCUUAUAAUGUUUAAAAAACAGCAAUUCACAUGUGUAGAAAUAGACUGUGAGUGAUUCAGCACCAGAUGAGGAAUUGAUAAACAACUCAACAGAGGAGGAUAUNNNNNNNNNNNNNNNNNNNNNNNNNNNNNNNNNNNNNNNNNNNNNNNNNNNNNNNNNNNNNNNNNNNNNNNNNNNNNNNNNNNNNNNNNNNNNNNNNNNNNNNNNNNNNNNNNNNNNNNNNNNNNNNNNNNNNNNNNNNNNNNNNNNNNNNNNNNNNNNNNNNNNNNNNNNNNNNNNNNNNNNNNNNNNNNNNNNNNNNNNNNNNNNNNNNNNNNNNNNNNNNNNNNNNNNNNNNNNNNNNNNNNNNNNNNNNNNNNNNNNNNNNNNNNNNNNNNNNNNNNNNNNNNNNNNNNNNNNNNNNNNNNNNNNNNNNNNNNNNNNNNNNNNNNNNNNNNNNNNNNNNNNNNNNNNNNNNNNNNNNNNNNNNNNNNNNNNNNNNNNNNNNNNNNNNNNNNNNNNNNNNNNNNNNNNNNNNNNNNNNNNNNNNNNNNNNNNNNNNNNNNNNNNNNNNNNNNNNNNNNNNNNNNNNNNNNNNNNNNNNNNNNNNNNNNNNNNNNNNNNNNNNNNNNNNNNNNNNNNNNNNNNNNNNNNNNNNNNNNNNNNNNNNNNNNNNNNNNNNNNNNNNNNNNNNNNNNNNNNNNNNNNNNNNNNNNNNNNNNNNNNNNNNNNNNNNNNNNNNNNNNNNNNNNNNNNNNNNNNNNNNNNNNNNNNNNNNNNNNNNNNNNNNNNNNNNNNNNNNNNNNNNNNNNNNNNNNNNNNNNNNNNNNNNNNNNNNNNNNNNNNNNNNNNNNNNNNNNNNNNNNNNNNNNNNNNNNNNNNNCGAUCUGAAAUUUCUCUUUGAUGUUGAGUCUAGCUACUUGAGUUAGUAUCGAGGGCCAGCUCCCAAUUCUCCCCAGCUGCAUCUCCAUUGAUGAACCAAUCCACAAUCAUUAUCAUGACUUCAUUCACUGUCAAACUAAACUUGGUUUUUGGUUUUCACUUGCAGAAAGCGAGCAUAACUAAUACGAACUUGCUAGGCUUUUGCGUUGCAAUCAUAUCAUGUAAAGUAUACAUGUAGACAUAAUAUAUACAGGCUAGCUAAUUAGUUACAGGCCUAGGGCUCUCGAUUGAAACUCUGGUUCACACUCCGAUGACUCCUUCUGCAACCCGACUAUUAUCCUGUAGUGAGUGUUAAUCAUGACAGACAAUCUUACAGCAUUGCAGUGAAUUCAAUAUAAAUUCUAGUAAAGAAAGAGGGGUUGCAAGUAUGCAAUACCUUAGAAUUUGUUAACUUCAUUUGGUGAAAAUUACACCCAAUUGCACCAUCCCCAUAAAGAAUUUUUGCUCCACAUCCUGGUGCAUCCACUGACCCAACAGCCUCUUCAUCAACCAAAACUGCAGUAAUAUAAUUGGUUCCUGUCUUGUUCUCUGGCACCUGUAACCAGAUAAUAAUUAGCAUAACAAAUAAAAUAUACUCCCAACAUUUAAUGUACUCGACGGAUCAAGAGUGGUAGAAUUUGAAAUCGAAGUAUACCUCAUACAUUGCUUCUGUAAGAAUAUUUUCUAAGAUAGCUCUCAAUCCUCGGGCACCGGUGUUCUUAGCCAUUGCUUUCUUGGCAAUCAAUCUCAACGAAUUCUCAGUAAAAUGCAGUUUGACCUGAAAGAUUUUAGAGAUGACAAGCAAAGCAUAAUUGGCCCCAUAUAUCAGCAUCAAUUAUUACACAUAAAAGGAGAAGAGAGCAGAAAGGUUUCCCAUGCAUAGCAAGGAACAAAAACUUACAUUAUUCAUAUUGAACAUCUUCUUGUACUGUUUUCCGAAAGCAUUUUUUGGCACCAUAAGGACCUAUGGAACAACAAAAAUUGCAUCAUAUUUUGUCAGUUUCCUUCAAAAAAACUGAGCUCAUUAACUUGAAAUUGCAAGUUUCUCUGCCUGCAACAUGCCCAUCAAGUGGAAGAAGCAUUAUCACCCCAUAAAAUAACACAAAAGAUAAAAUUCUACAUGAAUCAGGAAACAGAACCGCCACAGCAAUCAUCAAAGAAAAAGGAAAAACAUAUGGCAUCAAAGAGGUGGAAAAUACCUGAACCAGUUGGUCCUCAUUCAAUGCUGAUAAGCUCACUAAUAUCGGGAAGCGUCCAACAAAUUCAGGAAUCAGGCCGUAUGCGAUUAGAUCACCACUUUCUACCUGAAAGUCCACACAAAACUUGAGUAUCUACUUGAAGGGACUAGGAAGUGACACCCCUUCCCUAGCUCUUGAGUUAAUUAGUUCAGGAGAAUGUAUAAUUAUUAGAAUAAGCCAAAGUGAUAUCAACCCAAGGACCAAAAAAAAUCAAAUAUUAUAAUAGGAAAACUUGACUAGGUAUAGGGGUUUAGUUCUCACAGAUUCCAGCAAUGAUGAUGUCACAGCAGCAUCAGUCCUUCCACCAGUCCUCAUGUUUGCACGAACUGGUGCUCCAAAGCGAAUGGAAGCAUCUUGUCGUCUUAGAAAAGAAUUAGAACAUUCAGAGUCAAGAAAUCCUCGGCAACAAAUGCUAUGAGCACACAUCUAAAUAGGGAAAUUACCUUUCUGAAAUGGUUUUCUCCAAAUUAACAAAUGCCCCACCACAUAUGAAAAGGAUAUCUUUUGUGUCCAUCUGUAAUCAUCACAUCAAAGUUCUAAGAUGCACAAGAAAGAAAAGCCUCUUAAGGAAAAAAAAUUAAAACAGCUGGAAAAAAACAAACAUUUUUUAUUUUUUCGGUAUUCUUGAUGCCUUUAAAGUAUCAGGACAUUAUCCUUGCACUGCUGUUCAAGAAAAGGCAUGAAGUAAAAGAGGCACAGUGCUUCUCAAAGCCACAACUGCAGCACGAAAAACCUAUAAAGAAUGGCAUCACCUCAUCCUUGAAGGUUACAGCUUAGUAAGGACACAAUGUCACCAUGGUUAUUUUUCAAAACAUGUCUAAUUUUUCUCUAUCACAGCAUAUUAUUUCCAUUUGGGAAAAAGAACAAACAGAAAUCAUUUCCAUUGUUGUUAUUUAGUGGUGAAGAAUCAAUAGAAGUGUCUGCAGCACCACCAUUCCAUUGGUGGCACCAAACUUGAUUCGCAAUACAAUUGAACACAACACACAAGUCAAAGUGGCAACUAGUAUUUAUGUCUGGUCUUGUUCCCUAUUGACCCAAGGCAGGGUCCCAUGUCUAAUUUUUCUCUAUCACAGCAUAUUUUAUCCAUUUGGGAAAAAGAACAAACAGAAAUCAUUUCCAUUGUUGUUAUUUAGUGGUGAAGAAUCAAUAGAAGUGUCUGCAGCACCACCCUUCCAUUGGUGGCACCAAACUUGAUUCGCAAUACAAUUGCACACAACACACAAGUCAAAGUGGCAACAAGUAUUUAUGUCUGGUCUUGUUCCCUAUUGACCCAAGGCAGGGUCCUAUGUAACCAAAAAAUGUUGUCAAGGGUUUUGUUUUUCAUUCAAACCAUGAAUUGCAAAAAUUAACUUCCAAAUGUACUAGAUCAACCAUGUUAAUUUACUUUGUGAAAACACCUUCAGUCAUGAAAAGGUAAGAAAAGCACGUCAGUAAAUUUUCCAUUGAUUCUGGAAAUUUUCAUAUCAAUCCAUUUCAGGCAUGUUGAGAGGAAGAAAUGGAGUGUUCCAUGAAGUUGUAGAACUGCAGUUUUUAGAUUUGUUGUUUUAGCACUUAUCUAUCUCCCAAUCAAACUAAAAGAACACAAAUAUAUCCAAAUUCACAAAUACAUUGACAACAGCUUAACAAACUAAAAUGCAUAACACUAGAAAACAAAAUCCUAAGCAAACCCAUUAUGUCUCAAUUACAUAAGCAUAAACAAGUAAACAUACGGCACUAAACACUACUUUCAUUUGUCGAAACCCUAAAUAGUUACCAUCAACCCAUCGAAAAGAAACUAUCAAAUAUAUUACAGAACAGAAAACACUAGAAGCUGACCUGAGCAGCAAAAUCGAAAGCGGAUAACCGCAAUAGCAAAGAAAAGAACGAAACAAAAGUAGAAAGCGAAAUUAGUUUUUUUUUCCAUUGUACAUUGACAGCUAAAGCAGAAAGAGAGAGGAGAUCGUACCGCGAAAAGAAGAGCUUGAUUGAUUGAGAAAUUGUAUUAUCGAAAGUAAAAUUGAUUUGUUUAUAGUCCUAGCUGUUUACUUGUUUUAGUUAUAUUUGAUCCAACGAAAUUAAUUUUUGUAUGCAAAAUUAUAUUAUAUAUUUUAGGAAAAAAAAUACAAUUAUAGUCAAAAUGUCAAAAUAGUACAUGAAAGCUAGCUAUGGAAGCAAGUUGAGGUUUCGUGGGGGUACCCAACCUAAAAAUCUAUUUAAAGCAGGUUUAGGUGUUGAUUAAAUAUAUGAGUAUCAAAUUAAUUAUUUUUAUUAGGUUUGUGUUGGACAUGGAUGUAAAGUUAUGGGUAACUUCUGCCCACCAAAACUCAUUGCAUAGUUUAAUAUUUAUUAAAUAUAAUAAAAUUCAAGUAAAAAUUUAUAUAUAUAUAUAUAUAUAUUGGGUAUUUUAUUAAAAUUAAAAUAAAUUAAAAUCCAAACCUAAAGCUCCAAUCACUAAUAUCAUCAAAUACUAAAAAAAAUUAAUUACUUGCACUCCAUAAUGCACAUAACCUGGCUCCACUUAAUAAUAAUUCCAGCCUCUGUUAUGAAUUUUGCAAGGAAUCUAACAUUCUGCACAAAAAACUUUCCACUUAAUUUAGAUUCACACCACAAUUUCAAGGAUUAAUUUGGGAUAGUCACAAGUCGAUUUUAUGUUUAGAACUAGUUUUUGAAAAAUGAUAAAUGAAAAGUAAAAGCAUUCAACUAAGAAAUUAUUCUAGGAAGAGGCAGCAAAAGGAGAAUCACAAAAGCAGCAGGAGCCAGGCAUCUAACCAAGGGGUUUAUGACAGAAUUAUAUCAUUUUGAAAUAUAUUUUAUAAUGCAGAUUUAUCUAUACUAAACAAGGGUAAAUAACAAUAGGUGUUGAAUUAAUUAAAUAAUAGUUAAAAUAUCUUAUUCUACAUGGGUGUAUAUUGGUAAGGACGCAUAUCAAAUUGAUAUUUCACAGCUAAAAAAAGUUAAAUGAGGGAGACAUAAGCACCAUCUAAAAAAAAAUUGCAACCUCCAUGAUCCCCACUACAAUAAAAAUAAGGUUGAGGAAACUAUCUCUCAUCAUUACCUCGAAAAAGAUUUAAAAUCAAAAUCUUUUUAUAAUAGAUACUCUUAAGGGCUUAGUUUUUAUUAUCAAGUUAUAAGCCACAAAUAUGAAUAUGGAGACAUUUACAGAAUCAGUUGACAGAAGAUUCAGAACUUCAGACCAAAGAAAAGCUUUUAAAUAUAGACAUCCUCUUUGAUUCUUUUAAGAAUCUUUUUCUUAGUGAAUUUGUCAUUCUCUUCUGUUGAGUAUAUAGAACAGAAAACACAAACACAUACACAUCCUUAAGUUCUCUUACAGAAACACUUCCUCAGAAAAAAAAAAAAAAAAUCUUUGCUUUUUAUUGUCCCAUUCAUUAUCUAUCAUUGUCUGAUAAACUCUCUGCCACAUAUUACAAGCAUCAAAUCUGAGAAUGAAUCCAACUGGAUUGUUUUAGGCUUUUAGUUUAGGAGGCAACUUUUUGUCUCAAUGUUUUCAAAGAUGUAUUUAUUUUCAAAUUUCAAUUGAUUGUAAACAGUUAAUUGAAUGUGCUGAUCUAGUUUAAUCUGGCUUUUCUAGUUCUAGAGAUUUAUAUUGUCUUAACUAGUUUUAGUAGACAGGCUGAUGACUGGUGAGGAUCAUUUGAUUGGCUAUGGCAAUAAGCACGGACAUCUUACCAUUUUGUAACAUUGAAGUAGUAUCAUGCAAGAUGUAUGCUCCCUGAAUUUUGCAAUUACAUUAAGUAAGAUGGUAUUCUAUUCCCACCAAAUUACCAAUCCAGCUGAUGAGCCAACAGCUAUAAGAGCAAUGGCUAACUCAUAAUCAAUGGGAAUACAAAACCCAAUCCAGGUACUAAUAUAAGCAACUCAUAAACAGCAUUUACAGUUACAGGCUUUAAACAAAUCAUAAAUAGCAGCAUCAGUUUAAACCUAUUUGUAGCACAUGAAACAAAAACUAUACGCAAAGCUCACCCGGAAAUCAGCUUUUCUGAGAACUUCCUCCGUUGUUACUUCAAAUUCCUGUCUUCUAGGAGGUUUACGAUUUCCUGGCCUUUUAAGAUCGAGAUCCUGCAAAAGCAUGCAACCUUGAGACAAGACAAACAUGUGCAUUAAAAAGGCACAAAAUGUUCAAAACGGCACCAGCAAAAGAGUGCCAGAGAAAAGAGAGCACACUUAUUGAUGACAUUUAUAAGACAGAACAAGAUUAACCUAGAAAUCCUACUACUUCUAUGAUCCAAGGAAUUUCCUCAAAAGAGAUAUCAAUUGAAAAACCAUCACUUUCAUAAUCGCCAGUAUGUCUCAGGUUUAACGGCCAGUUCGAACAUGUACUGUAUGACUUAAUGCAAUUAUGGACAACAUCUAUAAACAGUAAAAAUACAAAAUGCAUAGUGCAUACAAAAUACAAUUUAAUUAAUACCUAAACCAUUAAUUGAACAUAUGUCCGCCUGACUUUUUUUUCAUGCCAUAGCUGCAGCUGAUUGAGCUGUAGCUUAUGUUCUAUAUCAAAACUCUUCAAUCAGAAAGAAACAUAAAGUACCAUAUAGUUAAAAAGGUUUAUGCUUUGAAAAUACUUGUAGAAACUCAUAACAUUCAAACUGCAAUAUUCUAAGUACAGUGUCACGGCUAUUCUACUACACGCCUUAACGUCAUAAGUUGAUCCAUGAUGAAAAUUCAUAUCUGAUCUGAAAACAUAGUUAUAACUGUCUAUUUCGUUAGGAUCAAACUCAACAUAUGUGGCCGCUUCCUUCAACUUUCCACCCAUGCCAUCAGAUACUGAGUUAAAACUCUCAUCUAGGCCAUCCAAAGUCUGCCGACGGUUUCCUUCACUCAGUCUAGAACAGGAAAUUUACGAGCUUUCUCAAUUCUAUCAAGCUUUCGGUAAAAGGAACUGUUAUCUGAGGUAUUAAAUAUUCGCAACUCAAACUCAUCAAUGGACUCAAAGGAAUUAGGAUUUCCCUUAUCACCACUGGGAUCACCUGUCCAAAUGCCAAAAAAACAAUAAAAAACACAAUAAGCAACAUUAACAGAUAGCCGAGAAAGCGAAGAUGAAUACUCUACUACAGAAUUUUUGAAGAAUAGCAAAGUGAUAGAGAGGUNNNNNNNNNNNNNNNNNNNNNNNNNNNNNNNNNNNNNNNNNNNNNNNNNNNNNNNNNNNNNNNNNNNNNNNNNNNNNNNNNNNNNNNNNNNNNNNNNNNNNNNNNNNNNNNNNNNNNNNNNNNNNNNNNNNNNNNNNNNNNNNNNNNNNNNNNNNNNNNNNNNNNNNNNNNNNNNNNNNNNNNNNNNNNNNNNNNNNNNNNNNNNCUGGACCAAAAUGCAAGAAUUAUGCAGCCGCAUAUCCCCAUAUAUGCUUGUAUGUAAAACAUAAAAGAACGCAAAAGUAACAAAAAAAUAAAUCAAAAAUCCUCAAUUCCACCAACCAAAGAUGUAAAUAAACACAAAAUGGGAGCACAAGCAAGCAUAACUAUUUCUUCUAAUUAGUACAAACAGAAUUGCCAAUUAACCAAGACGAACCAAAUAUUUAAGAAAAAAACACGCUCAUGAUGAAAUUUUAAAAAAAUUUCAAAUUGUCGAAACACAAAUAUAUCCAAAUUAACAAAUACAUUGUCGAAACCCGAAAUAGUCGCCAUCAACCCAACGAAAUGAAAUUAUCAAAUAUAUUACAGAACAGAAAACCCUCGAAGCUAACAUGAACAGCGAAAUCGAAAGCGGAUAACCACAAUAGCAAAGAAAACAGCGAAACAAAAGUAGAAAGCGAAUUAGUUCUUUUCCUAUUUUCUAUUGUACAUUGACAGAAAGCAGAGAGAGACCGAGAGAUCGUACCGUGAAAAGAAGGAGUUGAUUGAUUGAGAAAUUGUUUUACCGCAAGCAAAUUUGAUGUGUGUUUUGUGUCCGCUCCUGUUGCUUUUGUAUCAGUGACUCGCUCUCACCCCAAAACCCAGUUUUGUUUGUAAAUACAGGUGUUCUUUAAUCGAAAUACUUAUUUGCAACAAUGAAAAUUUAACUUAAAUUAAUGAUCUCAUGUAUCAUGGAGUGAAGAAGAAAUGGAAAGUUUAGAACUACACAAAUUAUUGCUGCCAUAUCUGACUCAAACAGAGCAAAAAACUGAAGACCCCUCUAGAAAGCAAUAUGACAGAGUUAAUAAGUCGAUUCAUGAGCAUCACAACAGCAAGGACCCUCACAUUUUCAUGGUCGAUGUGCAGAAGAAGCUUAAUCUCUCGCAGAGUCCCUUUAGCACGUCUCUGGCUAUCGAAAGCAUUACCAAUCUUCUUAAUGGUAACUUCCUCCCCUCUCUCGGAAUUCUUGGCAGCACUGAAGGAAAUAAAAAAUCACAUCUUCCUUUCCAUUGUUGGUAAGACAAAGCCAUUGAGUCAAAUGUAAGGAAAAUGUAAUCAGUUACAGUCCACCAGAACAACAUUUGUCUGCAUACACAACUGAACUGAACCAAAAAAUUUAGUUUUUCUGAUAAAAACCUGGAGCAGUUGUUCUGUUGAGCACCUCAAACAAUAGAUAAAAACCUGGAGCGGUUGUUCGUCGUUUAAGAUAUUUAGCUGAAAAGGGAAAUCACGUGCUCCGUUUUAAAUAUAAAAUGGAAACGAUUUCUCAGAUUCCAUUCAUCGUUGAAGAUUUGCAAUACCGGUUGGUUCGGGAUUUAGAUUGGCGCACCACUUCACCUUCAAGCAAGGAGAACGCAGAGUCGUUCUUGAGUGAUUUUAGGGACUUAAAUGUAUUUUCACGCCUUCCGUUUCAGGCAAUUCAAGAAUUUAACUCUUCUCCUACUCCAGAGAGUAAUUCCAUUUGUGAAGGAAAAAUGGAUUCUCUACCUUCUGUAUUUCUUAAGUUGUUGGUAAAGAUGGAGCACCGGCUCAAAGCACUUCAGAUAGACCAUAGUGGCGAAGGAAAGAUCAAUGACCUUACACAGGAAGAAAAGAUUAAUGAAUAAAAUGUCCGUUCGGAAUGGUCUCUGUAUCUUCCCAUUUUGGAAGAACUGAAUUUCAUUUCUAAAUUUCUUGAGGGUGCAGAGAAAGAAUUCUGGGGCGUAUAAAAGAAGUCAAAGGGUUGCAAUACGUGCACUGGUUCUUCGAUUCGCUGAUAGAAAAGAUGACUACGACUAUAUAAACAGGUAUCAUGUUUCGCAAAUGGCUUUGCCAAUGUUUUUGGUGUGCCAAUCAAAGAAUUGAUGUGUUUUAGAGGAUUAGAGGUUGAAGAUAUUAAUCAAGUAUUGCAUGGACCCCAAAGACCUUAUCAUAGUGCAGAAAAUACUAAUGGCAAAAUGGAGAGGGAAGCCGAGGUUGAUCCUCCGUUGUCUCAUUACCAAAAGGUAAGGGCUUUUCCCUGUAUACUAGCUUUCUGUUGUCUAAGACUUAGUAGGUGAAUUUCACAUGUCCUAAUCAUAAAAGCAUCAAAGCAGCUAAACAUUAGUGACGUUCAUCUAGAAAUCAAUUUUAUAGUAUUUUCAGUGCCUAGCAAUAGCAGAAAUGUGAGUCCUAUUACUUUGGCCUUCAAGUCAUCACCUUUUCGGACCUUGUCCAUACCUUCAUUUUUGACUCGGUCGAGGGUUGCCUUACAAUGAACCAGUUCGUCCUGCUUUGUUUGAUGCUCAGAAAGAAAAAAAGCAGCCGAUCCAAUGUCAUUGGCUAUAGCAGUAAAAUUACAGGCCAUUGUUUUGACUUGGUUUUUGGCCUCCGAGAAAAGAUAUUUAUCACUAGAAUGCUCCGCCAAGAACUUGGUGUGUUCCAGAAAUUGGUUACUUUGUUGUUCGUCUAGAAUGAAAGCAAGGCCUUGCUCUGCAAAGGCACGAACUCGGUCCAUUGUUUUGUUCAGCUUGAUCGAAAGAUCAUUAGAAUGACCAAUAGGCGCAGGAGGACUUUUAGGAACAUCUAUGAUCUUCAUUUCAUCCUGACCAGGCUCUUCAGCCAAAUCAUUGAUUGAAGAAAAGAAAUCAAGCAUGUUAGGACCUAGCUCCUGAAAUAAAUUCUGAAAGUCAAUACGAAACCUUUUAAGUGCUGAAUAAUGGUAAAAAAUUUUUGGGGCACUCUAAAAUAUUUAGUCAAUACGAAAAAAUUUAUUAACAUCAGAAUGUGAAAAUUCACAGGGAUCAAUUAUAAAAUGAAAAAUGAUUUUGGUUAUUUACUUAAUUGAUUAUUUUAAUUAUUUAAAACAUGUAUACAUUUAUUUUAUUUGUCCAAAAUAAAAUAGGAAUAAAAUCAUAGAGCCAUACAUGCUGGCAUUGAAAAAUAAGAGGUUAAAGAGAAAUUACUAUAGGUUUAUCAGUUUUGGGAGAGGACACUUCCAUGACCACAUUUGCCACAAUAGAUCGGACACUCUCAGAGUCAGACUGAACCACCGACUGUGGAGGGAUAGCUAAAAGUUGAAGAUUGACCCGCGAAGAUUUCUUGGAAAGCGACGAGACUACUUUUUCUGGUUCAUCUGUCACCUCUUUAUCCUUUCUCUUGGAAGAGACUCCUACCUCAGAACCCAUGUAUUUAAUCUUCAUCGAUCUUGGUGAAGAUGUUGCUUGUUCUAUCUGAGGAGACGGCAUGGAAGCACUAGUUAUUUCACUCUUCGAGCCAGGCUGAUUUCCGGAAGUUAGUACAUAGAGAAAGAGAAUCAUAUAAUGGCAAACCGAGUAGUACAUUUGAUUUUCUUUUCGGAGUUGGUGCCUCUUCCUUUGACUCUAGUUGAAACGGCCAAGCUGAUUCUGGACAAAUAGACUUCUCAAUUGCCUCUGCAAAACAGACAAAUGAGCACAAACGAAAACACAAGAUUGGUCGAUUUCAGGAAAAAAUUUUCUCUAUCAAAUCUUUAUUAUUUAUUUCCUGCUUUCUUAUCUUUUUCUUCACCUUCAACGCCUGUGUUUUUCCUUCUAGGUUGGCGGUUUUUCAAGGCCUAAAUAUCUAAACCUGAAUUAAUGACUCCUCCGAGUCUACACAUUCAAACAUGUUAGUUUCAUUACUCAAUUAAAGUCUACACUUAUCACUCUUUCAUCCAAUUUAGGGUGAACACAAUGGUAAAUGGACAUGCUAUAAAUAUGAACAUCUCUAGAAAAGUUCGAGGUCAUAUUCUCACCUGAUCACCAUCUGCUACCCGCCUUCGGUUAAACUUUUGUCUAACACAGUUUACUACAGCUAUGAGGUGUGACUCUCAAUAGGAUGUGGAUUAAACUCACAAGUAUAAGAAGAUUUUCAAGAUAGGAUUUAACAAAAGAAAAAAAAAAAUUGGACCUAUACCAAAAGUUUCAGAAGAGUGGAGAACAUUUCUGAAGAAAGCUGAGAGAUCUACUCGCUGACUUUCAUACUUUUUCAAGAAAGGAUCUUCCUGGUAUUUGCAUUGAAAGGUCUCAAUCGGCACAUGUUUAUAUGUUUAUAUAAAAGAAUGAAAAGAUAUAAUUUCCUAUACCAAAAGUUGACGUGCUGAUUUUCUGUCUUCUGGUUUUUUCUUCAAACUGAAAAGGAUAAUUAAUUCCAGGAUGGGAAAUAUAACUAAUUAAAAAGAGAACAGAAAUGGCAUGCAAAAACCAACUAUUAUAUAAUGUAUAUACACAAUUUUCAAAAUUAGAAAGAACGGAAAACAAUAACAGGCACCAGUGUAAUUUGAACAGUUUAUUUUCUUCCAGAUUACUUCAUACUCAUAAGAAUGGAUCUCCAGGAUGAUAAAUAUGCAAAGACAUAGAGGUUAUGGAUAUUAUAUAAUAAACAUGAAAAGCACUAUCAAAAAUUAUUUUGUAAAUAAGUCUUAUGGAAGCACCAUAAUCUUUACUUACCAUGAAGAUAUGAAGAAGCAAAACGCUGGAGAAAAUUGAUUAGAAGGUGCACGAGGUGGUUCUUGGUUAACAACAGUCUUCAGAAAUACCAAACCCAGGCUCCAAAUGUCGCUUUUGUGGUCAUAUCUCUGUUCUUCAAUUCUCUCAGGCUACGAAACAAACAAUCACACAUGUAUGAACUUUCAAGUGCAAGCAGAACAAUUGUGGAACUUUGUAGCAAUAAGUAAGUGCAAAGAUUCUAACAAAAGGAGGAAAAAAAAAAACAGCAUCACCACAGGUACAGCUAAAUACUCACAGCCACAUAGUAACUUGUCCCCAUAUAAGUAGAUGCUUGUCCAUAGGUUUUUGCCACAGUUGCACUCACACCAAAGUCACCGAUCUUGGCUUCUCCUCUCUGAUUUAUCAAUAAAUUGGAGGGUUUCAAGUCCCUGUGAAUGAUGUGUUUUUCGUGAUGAUUAAGAUACGAUAAACCCUCAAGCACCUGCAGUAGUAGGAAAAGGAAUAAGGAAAACAAAUGGAUGUAAUAUAGAAAUCUAUAAAUUGUAUGAUAUUCCAAAAUGUUUCACCUGCUUACUAAUGGCUGCAAGAUACUUUUCUGGAAUUUUUUUGGCUUUUUUCCGAAGAUCUCCCCAAGUUCCGCAAUCCAUGUACUCCAUGAGAAUUGAAAAUUCACCGUUGGCAUAGAAAGACUCGUAGUACUUGACAACGUAUGGACAUUCCAGUGAAUGAUUAAUUUUCAAUUCCUGGGUAAUUAAUUUCAGUGCAGUCUUAUCGAGGUUCAAUUUUAUAACCUGAAUACAAAUACAGGUUAAAAUUGAUGAGACUUUUCAUCGACACCAAAUUGAGUGUCAAAAAUUAAAAAAGGAUAAAAGAGUAGUAAAUAAUAAAAAAAUUUAAAAUAACAAAACACUUUGUAUUAUUAUUGUCUAUCGGUAAGCUUUUACACUGGUCAUAGUGUAGGUAAAUCAUUCUCAUGCUUUCAUAUUUAAGUGCAUAAAGGAGAGAAUAGGUACUGAGAAAAGCAAAAAUAGGGUUAAAUGUGCCAUACCUUAAAUGCAAAUAACUGUUCCUUGUUCUUGUGUUCCACUAACCACACAAUACCACACAAUACCAUUUGACUCCCCAAUCUUCUUAAUUUUGCGUAUAUCUGCUAAAUUCCAUUGAUUGUCCGAUGCCGAAAUCGGGAGAGCCUGAAGACAAAAAUACACAUAAAAGAACAAACUUUUUUCUUUUCUCUUUUCUAUUAAGCUUAAAACAAAGGUUGAGGUGGAAGGUUACUUGCCCUUUAAACAAAGGGGAAAGUUGCAAUCAAUUCUUUUACCCCUUGUUUGGAAAGGAGAGGAACCAUAACAAUGGAGGAAGGAAAAAAUAAUUAGAAUUUGUCUAUUUUCUUUGCGCUAUUUUGCACACUUUUGUUUGGAUAUAAUGAUUUUUUUUUUUUUGAAAAGGACAAAAUUUUAAAGAAAAUAAAAUAUUAUUAUUGGAAAUUGAGGUGUAGAAGGACAUAGAAAAGUUUGCUUUGUGCCAUUUAAUCUGCUUUUUUAAAGAUAAUAGCAUACCUACGGUUAAUUGUAAUUGGAAAAAUUAUAAUUUUAUGUUUUUUUUUUUUUCAAAAGUAACUAUUUUAUCCUUGCUUAGUGGAGAAUAUAUUAUUUUAUAUCUAUAUUUUGAUUAUGUUUAAUAAAUCAAUCCUUUUGUUAAAUAUUUCUAUUUUUACCGUUAAAUUUAAAUGAAAAUACUAAAAUAUCUUAUAUAUAUUGCAUUAAAGGAUAUUAGUCGUUUGUUCUUUCAUCCUCGCAUGACUUUUUUUUUUUUUCUCCUCACCUCUUUGAACUGUUUUAAUCAAAACCCCUUAUUAUUUGAUGUCAAGAUCUCUAGUCAUAAGAUCACGACAGAAUUGAAGGAUUAGGGUUUUAGGAAAAUGUGAACAUAAGAAAAUUGAGAGAGAGGAGAAGAGAAGAGGAAGAAUAAGAGAUAAAAAGAAAAUUAUAUUGUGAUUCAUUGGUUGAUUGUAAAAAUAUUGGCGAAAUACAUAAAAUUCACAUAAAUUUCACCUGUGAAUUUUGAUACUUGUGGUAUCCUUAACUUUUAUUUUGACUUAUCAAAUACUUUAACUUAUAAAAUUACAUAUGUUAAGCAUUUCAAUUCUCAAAUUUAUUUUAUUGAAUAUUUCAACUUGCAAAAGUUUAGAUAAAAUAAAGAUUCGUUAAAAAGUUGAAAUUUAUUAAAAUUAUUGUUUUAAAAGUCAUGUUAAUUAUAUAUUAAGUUAAUAUUUUACAGAUAAAAGUUAAAAAUCCUAAAAAAUAUUGAUAUUAGUGUCAAAAAGUGUGUAAUAUUAUCAAAAUUUACAAGUUAAAAUGCAAGAUAGGUCAUCUACAAAAUUCUGAGUGCCACAAAGUUAAAAUUACAAAGUUCAGGGGUAAAUUUAUGUAUUCAGUGUAAAAAUAUUGUUAACACCUCACAUUUAUAGUUUGACCCAUAUGGAAUACACAUAACUCAGCAUUAAUAAUUUUUUGACACUUUCUCUUUUAGCAUUAGAUGUGUUUCUUAAUUGAUAUUACUCCUGUAGUGGUAAAUUUGACCAUUUUUAACUUUUUAUGAGAAAUAAAAAAUCAAACCACGUCAAGUUUUAAAAACAAUAAGAGUAAUUAACUAAAGAAAAAAGUACAUUACGUUCUCUGUGGUUUACGAAAUAUAAUUAGUUCAUUGUCUUUUUCAAAAUAUAUCAAUUCGUCUCUAUAUUUUGUUUUCGUUAUACUAUUAUGUCCUUAAUUUAAUCUAUUUUUUGAAUCUUUUCUAUUAAGUUAAUAAGAAAACAUAGAGUUUUAAUGAGAAAUACUAAAAUAUUAUAUAAAAAAAAAUUAUAGUACGAUCUCUAUGGUUUAAAAGAGAUAUUUUCGUUAUUUUAUAAGAUACUUAACGGCAAAAAUACAAAAAAUAGAUGAAAAAUCUUAUAGACCGACGAAAGUAAACUAUAAAAAUGUUUUAAUUUAUUUUUUUAAAAAGAUUGAGAUAAAUUAGUUAUCUUUCCCGAUCCACAUGAAUCCUACUGUGCUUUUUCCUUAAUUAAAUUAUCUUUUAAUUCAAAGUUAAUGCAAAUAUACAGAAAAUGGUAAAAUUAAAAUAAAAUAUUGAACGCUAUUUUGAUUGUUUAAAUGAAAAAAAAAAAGUAAAAAACUGUUAAUUUGGAGAUAUGUAUUAUUAUUGUUGUUAUUGUAAUUAUUAUUAUUAUUAUUAUUUUGUUUGUUUGUCUUUCUUCAAGUUCAGACUGAAAUAGUAGUAUUCAAGGACCAUUCUUUAACUUUGAUCUUAUAUAUAAAAGUUCGCCUAGGGAUAUAAUUUGUUCCACUGAGAAGAUCAUCACUCACCGCCGUUGACAUCAAUCCGGUUGUUCUUCCGUUAUGGCAAAAGACGGAGCCGAACAGUCAUUACCCUCAUCUGAUGGACAGAACAUACCGGCUCCGGCUCCGGCUCCGGCUCCGCAUCCGACUACAGCUCCGGCUACGGCUCCGGUUACAUCGAAUGAGGUCAGGGCAAUAUUUUCAAUCUUACAUAGGAUGUGCCAUGGGGAAUCCACUAUAGGCUAUGGCUGCAUGAGCUGCUAUAUGUACAAUUUUUUCGGCAACUUGAAAGAUCCCAAGCCAUUGGACACACUAAUUCGGUCUUGUAUUCUUCGCCAUUUGACUGGGCUUUAUGCAUCAGAAAAUAGGAAAGACAGCAAGAAGGCCGACUAUUAUAUUAGGUAUCUGUUGCAUUUGAUGGUUGCUGAAAAGACAACAGGUUUUCUUGAUGAACGUGCUUCUGUAAUUCUACAGUUAUGCAAGGUUUUGAGGAGGAUGGUUUGUCGUAAGGAUUCUUUAUAUGUUUUAAGUCUUCACAGUUUAAAAGAUUUGGCGGAAAAGGCCAAUUAUGUGCUUCUUGAUACGUAUAAAAUAUUUUACCCGGAAUGGCAAAUUCUACCCAUUUUUGACGAUUUGGCAAAUAGAUUGCUGAAGGGUUUGCAUCAGUGCAUCAAUUCACCUUCAACCAAGGAGAGAAUGGACUCACUGAUAAGUGAUUUUCGUGACUUCAAGGCAUUUUCACGCCUUUAUUACCAUGCUAUUCAGGAACAGAAAGAGAAUCAAGAAGACAAGGGGAAUGCGGCGCCCAUUUCUUCAGGUAGAUAUAAAAAUGACGGAAGAAAAUUGUCUAUUCGUUAUAUUUGUUUUAAAUUGUUGCAUGACAUUGAGUUCCUGCUUGGAACAGUACAAAAAUCUCUAGUUAAUGGAGAAGAAGUCCAGCCUGAAUGGUCUAUGUACCUUGCCAUUUUGGAAGAACUGAACUUCAUUUCUAGACUUUGCCCCCAUUCUCGGGAUAAAUUUUGGAGUGUAUUAAAAAGUGCAAAGCUUCCAUUAGGUGCUCUAAUUGUUCGAUUCGCUAAGAGAAGAGAUGGCUAUGACUAUCAAUUGCUUCUUGAGCACAACGAUGUAACUGAUAGUGAUUCCAGGAUGCACUUGGCCAUGUUGAUGAUCCCUGGUGUUAAGGAAUCUACAGAUGCAGAGUUGAUGAAGAAGCUAGUUUUCUGGUCUCAAGAUUUGGACACAGAUCAAUUUAGGGCAUUCCAACAUAAGAGUCUUAAAGAUCCUCAAGUAUUACAGGAUUGCUUAUGCAAGUCAUGUGAAGUUAUAUUCAACCCAAAUAAUCCCCUUUUCCUGGCACAUCCAGGCGAUUCUCCAAGUUUCAAUGUUAAUCCUGGUAAGUUCAAUCCCAAAAGGGUAACUUAGUUAACGAAAUUAGAAUCCAAGACUGUUAAUUUGGUGGAAUUAAUAUCAUUUCCUUACUUAUACACAUGUUAUAUAAGCAGAAUUCAAUCCUGAACCCUCCCACUAUGAAUUUGUGGAAUUUGCUGGCAAAGUGAUUGCAUUAGCUUUAAUACAUAAAGUGAGAAUAGGUGUCGCAUUGGACGGUGUGUUCCUAACGCAGCUAGCCAAUUCAUCUAUGUCUUAUACGUCUAAUAAGGAUCUGCUGGUAAGUUCAAUAAUUCCGAACAUUUGGGAUUUUUUCGAGAUAGGUUGUGAUACAGUAAGGCUCUUGAACUUAAUUUGCCGCUAAUAUAUCUUAAACAGGUAUCAUUUUUUGCUCAAGGCUUUGCCAGUGUUUUUGGCGUGUCAUUCAAAGAAUUGUUGUCUUUCAAAGGAUUACAAUAUGAAGACAUUAAUCAAGUGCUGUGUGGACCCUCGACAAGUUCAGUACUAUCUAAUAGUAGUGGGAAAAGAAAGAAGGAGAUACGCAUCGAUCCUCCAUUGUCUCACGGCAAGGAGGUAAGGACUUUUCUGGUUUUUACUUGGUUUCCCCAAGUUUUGAUUUUUUUUUUUUUUUUUUUCUGUAAGAGUAAAUUUUUUAUACUAAAAGUUCUCCACAAAUCUUCAAGUAUUGCAAGGAUUUACCCUUUCAGGUUACAGUAGCGCUAAAAGUUCUAAACUGCUGUUAAAUCUGCAAACUUAAUCUACCACCGUUGUAGACUAGUUGAGAACUAAAGCAAGCGUGAUGAAUUUGGCAGGUCAAAAAACCAGAACGUAACUUUAGGAAUUGGCAAAGGGGCUCAAUGUUGGGAAGUGGGUCGUUUGGAGAAGUCUACAAAGGAACUGCUGAUCCCAACGGAUUCCUUUUUGCUGCAAAAAAAGUUCCACUUGAAGACACACAAAAAGUCAGCUCAAUUGAGCAUACGGUUGGUUCACUACGUCAACUACAUCACGAAAAUAUAGUCGAAUAUUUUGGCACAAAAAAGGAGGAAGCAAAUCUCUAUAUUUUUCACGAGUUUGUAAGUGGAGGGUCUCUCGAUAAAGUUCAUAAAGAAUUAAUCCUUGAUGAUGCCCGAGUGUCCUGCUACACACAACAGAUACUGAAAGGUUUGAAGUAUCUCCAUGAGCAAAAUGUUAUGCAUGGAGACAUCAAAUGUGCAAACAUACUGUUGAAUGAUAAAGGAGUUGUGCAGAUUGCUGAUUUUGGAUUGGCAAAGGUAAUUGAUUCAGAGAAUCUCCACAACUCAAGCAGAGCGAUUCCAGCCUGGUCCGCUCCUGAGGUCAUUGAUUCGACACGACAAGGAGGAUAUGGACUUGAAGCAGAUAUAUGGAGCCUUGGCUGUACCGUAUUAGAGAUGCUAACUGGAGAAUAUCCAUAUUGUCAUUUAGAACCCUGGACGAUAUGGUAUCGGAUUGGAGAAGGCAUUCCACCUGAUGUUCCUGAUUUUCUCUCUGAUACUUCCCGUGACUUUAUCGAGAAAUGCCUACAAAUUGAUCCAAAGGCACGUCCAACUGCUGCCCAGCUUUUACAGCAUCCAUUUGUAAAGAGGUGAAAGCAAUCAGCAGCACCUGCAAGCAGAAUGAGAAAAAUAUGUCAUGAACUGACGACAAAAUGGAUUGAUUAAUGCUUAUAGUAAAGAGCGAUGUAUGAUUUAAUUUGAUAUAUGGUGCAAAUUGCUGAUUUUGGAUUGGGAAAUGUAAUUGCUUAGAAUCUUUAAUUUGGUAUCACAGGAAUCUUCUUAUAUGGCAACACUCGCUGUUAGGAUCAUAUACAAUGGAUCCUAACUGUUCAUGCGAGAAUAACAUAACAGUAGUGUUUGGAAGAUGAGAAAAGAAAAGAAAGGGUGAGAGAGAGAGAAUAGAAAAGAGGAUAGUAUAUUCAUUCGUUAAUUUAUUAACCUUCAAUAUCUCAAUACAAGAGUACAUACAAUGUGCCUGCUCAACACUAAUAUCAGUUCAACACCUAAUUAAUUGCUUCUCAUGUACUUGCAACUAAUCACAAUAAAGCUCCCAUAUCAAUACUUAUUAUAAUAUAUCCUAACAUAGUCCUCACACCCGCACGCCCCUUCCUCCAUGGUUGUUUCUCUUGAUCUACGCUGCCUUAAUGACUGGAAAUCUGCAAAAGAAACUAGUACAGUAACAUGUACUUCGAUAUUUGCUCAUUGUUGGAUUCCACCGCAUGCUGGCUCUCUCAAGUGCAACGUAUAAACUACCAUAUUUCCAAAUCAUAAUGGUAUGAAUUUAGGGCCAUUGUCAGGGAUUCUAAUGGACAGUUUGUUGCGGCUUAUCUGGACUUACUGCAGGUCUAAACACUCCUCAGAUGGCUGAAGUGCUUGGCAUUGCUGGGGUUUUUCUUGGAUCAAACUUCAGCAUGUUAAAGCAAUCGAGCGUUUUGUUCUACAGAUCGGGAUGAUUCAGAGUUUGGUAGAAUUAUAAAUGAUUGUAAGAAGACAAGCUAAUAAACUGAUAUUAUUAUUUCUGAUUCUAUCGUGCAUUAAUAAGAGUAUCCUUUUAUUCCUUAAAAAAACCACCUCUUAAAAAUUAACUUAAAAACAAAAAUUAUAACAUGAAUUGGAAAUCAUAUGGAAUGUUCUCAAUAGUGUAUACAAUAGGUAUCAUCAGAUAAUUUUCAUGGAUCUGGAUUGAGCUUUUCAGAUUCACUCCAGAUGAGUUCCUUGAUAUUUUCCAGAGGAAAUAGUGGCUGCUCAAAAUCAAAGUUGAAAGGGCUUGGGCAAACAGGCUCCUCAUUUUUACAGUGAUAAAGUGUCAAGUAAGGGUGGUUUAGAGCAUCAUCAACUGCAAAGAAGGAAACAAGAUGGGAGAAUCUUUGUCAAUCAGUAAUAUUAAUUACACUAAAUUUAAGAAUUUAAUAAAGACCUAAAAAGUAAGACAUGAUUUCAACAUGUUUUGUCAACCAUGACCUUCAUUCUAACUAUCUGUUAUCAUUUUCAUCCUUAAAUCUUAUCACUGUGCUACAAAACCGCCAUUAGAAUACAUAAUCAAGUCACCUGCCACAAGAUUAUACCUGUGUUAUGUGUAAGUUACCGUCUUAUUAUUAAACGUCCGACUGAUGAAAUAUUAGACUAAAACUGAGAUAAAAAGUAGGAGCGUUCCGACAACAAUAGCUUUAACCAAAACGCUAUCUCUGUGAAUUAUAGAAUUGAUAACAAAUUUUAUAAUAGCAUUUAAACCGUUAUAUGAAUAACUAUCGGUUAAUAGUUAUUAAAUAAUUAAUUUGACUAAAGACACAGUUACAAAAAAAUUUGUGAUUUGAUCUAAUAUAAAAAUAUAAAAAAAUUAAUUCAGUUUAUGAUUUUGAAAUCAAAAUAUUCUAAACUGAAUUGAAUCAAACAAAACGUAUAUUAAUAUGUAUUUUUUUAUGUACAUCUAGAUUAAUCAAAUUUUUUUUAAUAAACUAUAUAUAUUAUAAAUUUUUUGGUAUAUCUUACCUAUACUACUAAGUCAAUAAGUCAAUAAGUUUUCUACAAAAAAAAAAAAGUAUUCAUAAAUCUUUAACAAUGUAAAGUAUUUUGUAUAAUUUUCUUUUAUAUAGCAAUAAAUAUGUUUCACACCACCCACCUAACACAAUUCAUAAAAAAGAAAAUUAGUAGUUUUUUUUUUAAAGAAUAUAAAAUCAGUAGUUAAAAGUCAAUACUUGAUGCUGAAUGAUUUGAAAAACAAUUAUAUAUUUAUGUUGUAUUAUUACUUUUUAAUUAUAACAUUAUUUAUGAUUAUAUUUCGUUAAAUAUUUAUAAAUAAUUAGAAUAAAAAUAAAAGAUAAAUAAUCCAAUUAAAACAAGUUGAUUUGGUCUAACUGUGAUUUAGUUAUCAAAUCAAUUCGAUAUCUGAUCCGAUUUUAAGAAUAGUGAUUUUCUUUUUAAAAAAAAAUUAAAAUAAAAAAUACUCUUUAAAAAAUCGAUUCCCACUUGCUCACACAACAUUUGCUAAAGAUUCUGUGUGUCAUAUAACACUUUCUCAUUCACACCGAUCAGCUAGUGCGCUGUCACUUGAUAUCGGAUCUUUUCUAAAUGAAGAAUUUGCCCUUCGACGGGAACUCCUACUAUUACUAUCUGCCUACGUCACUCUUUAUUUAAUAAAGCUAUUUCCCACGGUCAAGCCUAGUAGAGCUCCUAGUCAGCUCACUUCACGCGCACAGGCAAGACAUUAUUGCUUAUGUUUAGGCGUGACAUAACACUUUUAAUUUAUUAAUAGGAAAUUAGGUAGAAUAUGUUGAUAGAAAAGUCUAUUUUGUUUAAUUUAAUUCAACAAUGUCGGUUUAAUUAAUUAAUUGGAAAUUGAGGUGGAAAAGGACAUAGAAAAGUUUGUUUUGUGUCGGUUAAUUUGCUUUUUUAAAGGACAUUAGCGGUUUGUUCUUUCAUUCUCGGAUGACAUUCUUUCUUCUCCUCACCUCUGUUGAAUCAAAACUCCUUAUCGACUGAUGUCAAGAUCUCUAGUCGUAAGAUCACGACAGAAUUAAAGGAUUAGGGUUUUAGGGGAAUAUAAACAUAAGAAAAUUGAGAGAGAAGAGAAGAGAAGAGGAAGAAUAAGAGAUACAAAGAAAAUUUAUUCCACUGAUAAGAUCAUCAUUCACCGCCGUUAACAUCAAUCCGGUUGUUCUUCCGUUAUGGCAAGCGAAGUAGCCGAACAGUCAUUACCCUCGUCUGAUAGACAGAACAUACCGGCUCCGGUUACAUUGAAUGAGAUCAAUGCAAUAAUUUCAAUCUUACAUAGGAUGCGCCAAGGGGAAUCCACUUUAGUCUAUGGAUGCAUGAACUGCUAUAUGUACAAUUUGCUCGGCAACUUGAAAGAUCCCGAGCCAUUGGACGCACUAAUUCAGUCUUGUAUUCUUAAGCAUUUGGCUGCGCUUUAUGCAUCAGAAAAUAUAAGAGACAGCAAGAAGGCUGACUAUUAUAUUAGGUAUCUGUUGUAUUUGAUGAUUGCUGAAAAGACAACAGGUUUUCUUGAUGAACGUGCUUCUGUAAUUCUACAGUUAUGCAAGUUUUUGAGGACGAUGGUUUGUCUUGAGGAUUCUUUAUAUGUUUUAAGUCUUCACAGUUUAAGAGAUUUGGCGGAAAAGGCCAAUUAUGUGCUUCUUGAUAGGUAUAAAAUAUUGUUCCCGGAAUGGCAGACUCUACCCAUGUUUGACGAUUUGGCAUAUAGAUUGCUGAAGGAUUUGCAUCAGUGCAUCACUUCACCUUCAACCAAGGAGACAAUGGACUCAUUAAUAAGUGAUUUUCGUGACUUCAAGGCAUUAUCACGCCUUUUAUACCAUGCUAUUCAGGAACAGAAAGAGAAGCAAGAAGACAAGGGGAAGGAAGAGGAGGAGGAGGAGGAGGAGAAGGCAGCGCCCAUUUCUUCAGAGAGAUAUAAAAAUGACGGAAGAAAAUUGUCUAUUCAUUAUAUUUGUUUUAAAUUGUUGCAUGACAUUGAGUUCCUGCUUUGAACAGUACAAAAAUCUCUAGUUAAUGGAGAAGAAGUCCAGCCUGAAUGGUCUAUGUACCUUGCCAUUUUGGAAGAACUGAACUUCAUUUCUAGACUUUGCCCCCAUUCUCGGGAUAAAUUUUGGAGUGUAUUAAAAAGUGCAAAGCUUCCAUUAGGUGCUCUAAUUGUUCGAUUCGCUAAGAGAAGAGAUGGCUAUGACUAUCAAUGGCUUCUUGAGCACAACGAUGUAACUGAUAAUGAUUCCAGGAUGCAUUGGCCAUGUUGAUGAUCCCUGGGGUUAAGGAAUCUACAGAUGCAGAGUUGAUGAAGAAGCUAGUUUUCUGGUCUCAAGAUUUGGACACAGAUCAAUUUAGGGCAUUCCAGCAUAAUAGUCUUACAGAUCCUCGAGUAUUACAGGAUUGGUUAUGCAAGUCAUGUGAAGUUAUAUUCAACCCAAAUAAUCCCCUUAUCCUAGCACAUCCAUGCGAUUCUCCAAGUUUCAAUGUUAAUCCUGGUAAGUUCAAUCCCAAAAUGGUAACUUAGUUAAUGAAAUUAGAAUCCAAGACUGUUUAUUUGGUGAAAUUAAUAUCAUUUCCUUACUUAUAAACAUGUUAUAUAAGCAGAAUUCAAUCCUGAACUCUCCCACUAUGAAUUUGUGGAAUUUGCUGGCAAAGUGAUUGCAUUAGCUUUAAUACAUAAAGUGAGAAUAGGUGUCGCAUUGGACGGUGUGUUCCUAACGCAGCUGGCCAAUUCAUCUAUGUCUUACAGGUCUAAUAAGGAUCUGCUGGUAAGUUCAAUAAUUCAGAACAUUUGGGAAUUUUACUCAAUAUCGGAAAGCUGUGAACUUUGCCCCUAACAUAUCUUAAACAGGUAUCAUUUUUUGCACAAGGCUUUGCCAGUAUCUUUGGUGUAUCAAUCAAAGAAUUGUUGUCUUUCAAAGGGUUACAGCAUCAAGACAUUAAUCAAGUGUUGUGUGGACCCAGAACACUAUCUAAUGGUACUGUGAACAAGAUUAGUGGAGAAAGGAAGACAGAGGUUCAUGUCGAUCCUCUGUUGUCUUACGACCAGAAGGUAAGGAUUUUCCUGGUUUCAAUUUUAUUUGUUUCCCCAUGUUUUGGCUUUUGAGUAAAUUUUGCUGCAUAUUUAUGUAUAGUAGUGAAAGUUCUCCACAGGUCUUCAAAUUGCAACAACUUGAAUUGCUGUUAUAUUGUCAAACUUAAUCUAGUAAAUGAGCUAAGAACUAAAGCAAGAUAAAUUCUUGGCAGGUCAAAAGGAUAAUAGAUAGCAUUAGCAGUUGGCGAAGGGGCUCAAUAUUGGGAAGUUGGUCAUUUGGAGAAGUCUAUGAAGGAAUUGCUGAUUCCGAUGGAUUUGUUUUUGCUGCAAAGAAAGUUCCUCUUGAAUGCGCUGAAAAAUUCAGCUCAAUAAAGGAUAAGAUUGAUUCAUUGCUUCAACUACAUCAUGAAAAUAUAGUUGAAUGUCUUGGCACAAAAAUGAAGGACGACGAUCUCUAUAUUUUUCUUGAGUUUGUAAAUGGACGCUCCCUCGAUAAAGUUUAUAAAGAACUAACCCUUAAUGAUGCCCUAGUGUCCUGCUACACCAAAGAGAUACUGAAAGGUUUGGAGUAUCUCCAUGAACGAAAUUUCAUCCACGGAAACAUGAAAUGUGCGAACAUUCUGUUGAAAGACAAUGGAGGCCUGAAAAUUGCAGAUUUUGGAUUGACAAAUUNNNNNNNNNNNNNNNNNNNNNNNNNNNNNNNNNNNNNNNNNNNNNNNNNNNNNNNNNNNNNNNNNNNNNNNNNNNNNNNNNNNNNNNNNNNNNNNNNNNNNNNNNNNNNNNNNNNNNNNNNNNNNNNNNNNNNNNNNNNNNNNNNNNUUUAGAACCUUGGUCGAUAUGGUAUCGGAUCGGACAAGGUAUUCCACCUUCUAUUCCCGAUUCUCUCUCUGAUAAUUCUCGGAACUUUAUCCAGAAAUGCCUACAAGUUAAUCUAAAGGAACGUCCAACUGCUUCCCAGCUUUUAGAGCAUCCAUUUGUAAAGGUCACAGCAACCUGUAGUAGCACCUGCCAAGCCAAUUACUAUUGCCAUUAAAGACAUGGAUUUGUAAUUCUAUUUUUUGUGUAUUUAUUUUAUCUUUCUGUAUUUAUUACAUAAUAAAUUUUGUAGUUAUUGGAUUUAAUUUUAUUUACAAUGUAAUUAAUUUUGUAUUUUUCUGGUUUUCUUACUUGAAAUACCCUUCAAUUCCUCCAUUAUUAAUUUUAUUUACGUAAUUAAUCAUUUUUUGUAGUCUUUUAAAGUACAUUAUCUAUUUUUCUUUUUUGAAAGGAACAUUAUUUAUUUUUCUAAUAUUAUUUUUAGUUAGUAUGCAAUGAUAUUAAUAAUAUUUUAAUUUAAUCUAUUAAGUACGUAAAAAUAAAUUCAUGGAAACAUAACCUGAAUUAACAAGUCAUUUGUUGCAAACAUAAACUGAAUCAUUUGUUGCAAACAUAAACUGAAUUAUAAUUGAAGGAACAAAAUCACCAUCAACCGCAAACUUCUAUACUACUCUUAAAAUUUAACUUUAAAAAGUNNNNNNNNNNNNNNNNNNNNNNNNNNNNNNNNNNNNNNNNNNNNNNNNNNNNNNNNNNCAUAGGAAUCAUGGAAUAUUUUCCAAAGUGUGUACAACACAUUAUCAGAUAAUCUUCAUGGAUAUGGAUUGAAUUGUUCAGAUUCAACCCAGAUGAGUUCCAUUAUCUCGACCUCAGAAAGUGAUGACUCGUCAAAAUCAAAGUAGAAAAGGCUUGGGUAAUCAGGUUCGUUUUUGACAUCAUGAUAAUGUGCCAAAUAAGAGUGCUUUAAAGCUUCAUUAACUGCACAGAAGGAAAUAAAAUGGGAGAAGCUUUGUCAAUAAGCAAAUUAAAAGUGAAACUCGAUCAUAUUCAUCUUGAUUUGUCAAUUAUAUGCAAUUUUUACUCUUGGUAUAGAUGGUUCGAAUUGAAUCAAGUUUAAGUCAACCCAAAUCGUCUUUUUCUUUUUUCAGUUUGUUUCAUUCUCUACUUUAGAAAGAGAGAAUUUUGAGGAUUGUCAGUUUUUUUCAGUUCUAACUGUCAUGGACACUGACAUAAUAAUUUUGUCACUUGCUAGAGGACAAUAAUGCCUUAAGUGGUAAUAUACACUUAGUUCAGCAGAAAAUCUCUGCAAGGUUAGCUGUUCGAUAUGUGAUACGUGGAAAAAACACCUAUGAAAAGGAUAACCACAGAUUUCAAAAUGAAAUUAAUCUCGUCUAAUUGAUACAGGGAUACUCUUAGGAAAACGAAAAAAUUAAAAUGUCACUUCGUACCUGUAAUGCGCUCGUUUGGAUCAUAGACUAGCAUCCUCUCCAAUAGAUGAAGAGCAUCUUCAGACAUAUUAGGAGCAUACGGAAACAUAUUACGAAAUCUAGUAGCAAAAUCUGGCCUUGAACCAUUAUCGUCUUGCAGACCGAUGAGCUAGAGGAAGAGAAAAAUUGUAGAUGAGAUGUUUCACUUUUAAGUAAUUUGACACAAUAGAUAGAGAACAUGCAAUUCCAUAUAUCAAUGCACCAGCUAUAUAUUUCCUUUCCAAACAUGCCAGAAACUAAGCGGUUGUGGCAUGCAUGUUGAAAAUUAAGCUUUGUCUAGCACAAGAGAGCAAAACAAAGAGGAUCAUCUCAUGUUAUUCCACCACUCACACGAAAUAAAGCCAUGGAGAUGGGGAUGGGAGACACAGAAAGGAAAAGGAUAGGGAGUAGGAGAAAGAAGAAGAGGGCAAACGGUGGAAGAGAGAAGGAUGACCUGAGAAAAUCAGAAAGGCAUAUAACUUAGAAAGACUCGAGGCUCUAAACAAUAAUGAUACAUGACAAAUUAGUGAAACAGAAGAUUUCAGGUCUUCAAAAUUAAGAACAAUAAGAAGUUGUCAGUGUAGAGGAAAAAAAAUAGUCCAGGGAAGAUUUGCUGAGCAAUGUCCACAAACAUACGUUCUUGAUAAGCUUCAAUAUACAAGUAGAGGUUUUUUCAGGAAACAAAGGUUUGCGUGUCAUUACCUCACCAAGUAUACAACCCACUGACCAUAUAUCAAUUGCUUCAGUGUAAUGUGAUUGCCUCUUGAGCAAUUCUGGUGCUCGAUACCAGCGUCUGACAAGUUCCUCAGUCAUGGGGUCGGUUUCUGAUUUUAUCCUUGCAAGACCAAAGUCUGCAAUCUUAAGGUGACCUUUAGCAUUCAGGAGCAAAUUUUCAGUCUUUAGAUCACGAUGCAGAACACCUGCUGAGUGUACAUAUUUGAGCCCUCGGAGCAAUUGAUAUAAAAAGUACUACAAAAGUAAAAAAAAAAAUGAUGAGGAGUAAAAAUUGUGUGGUAAUUUAUUGUUCACAAGGGCAAGAGGCAAGAAUUUCAGAAGCAGUAUGAUGCUGGGACUAGUUAAGGGUUAAGGUGAAUAUCAAAGAAUUUUGAAAUCAUAAGUAAUUGGAAAAGAAAAAAUAUAGCUACAAUUGUAAAGUACUUCAUAGAAAAUAAGCAAUCCAAGAAAAAGAAUGAUGCGUACCUGACACUGUUUAUCAGUCAAUUCUUGUUCGGAUUUUAUUACUUUAUCAAGACCAGUUUCCAUCAAUUCAUAAACAAUGUACACAUCGUUGAAGUCCUCCUGAGGGGGUCGUAUUGUAUCUUUGAUAGAAACAAUCUGAGGACAAUAUAUAGCGACAGAGUAAGAUAAUAAUCCCAACCCCUGAAAAGAGCAGUAACGCCAUAUUUCAUGCCCAAUGACAAAAGUAAUUUCUGACUGUCUUGUUUAUAGAAUAUUACAAAUUAAAUUAGUGAAUUCAUGAGUAUAACAACCACAACGAAACUCACAUUUUGAUGGUCCAUGUGCAGGAGAAGCUUAAAUCAGUUACAGUCUGGAUUAAAUAUUGUUUGGUUGGAUGUCCGGACAAUUGUAGGACAAUAUAACCAGAACAGCAUUCAUCCAACCAAAUCGAAAUGAAAUAAUUCUUUUUUUUUUUUUUUUUGAUAAAAAAUUGAAAUGAACAAAUUACUGAAGGUUAUAAAUGUUACUGAUUUAGCUGAAACAUUGAACCAGUCUGACUCUAAUCAAAAUCACAUCUUCAGUUUGAUUUUCCUGUUUGAACUAAAAUUUGGACUGACCAAAUUACUAAUUUUGAUAAAUUCAGUCUAUUUGGUUUCCUGAAAAAAACCCGAAUUUAUUUGAUAAAUUACUAAUUUUGACCAACUUGGAUCCAAACCCGAUUUCGAAGAUUAAACCCGAAUUUAUUGGAGAGGCGAGGUGAGGGCAGAAGAGAAAUUAAAGGAGUCAGAGUUUGACUCAGUUAACAUUGGUCUUUUCGUUUGCAAAACGAUAUGAAAACUUGAAGAGCAAGUCAGAAGAAUAUUAUUUUUCUUUUGAAGAGAAUUAGAAGAAUAUUAUUUGGAAAAAAGAAAAAGUUAACCGUUCUUAAUUUUUAAAUUCUUUUUCUUAUUCUUAUAUAUAUAUUUUAAAUAUUUUAAUAAACCACUAGCACUAAUAAUGUUGUUUUGUCAAUACUUCACUCAUCGUUUCUAUUAUUAGCAGUUGCUAUCCCCUCGUUCAUCCAUUGUAGAAAAUGGCCAAACUCUCAUCAUCCUCAGUUGAUCCAUCAGAGUACAUCAAGGCCAUAAUUUCAAUGUUAGCUAUGAUACGUCAAGGCGAAUCCAUUGAGGAUGAUCGCAUAACAAGCUUCACUGAAAAAUUUCUUGACGAUUUCAGCAUUCCAGAGCGUUUUGAAACACUAAUUCAGUCUGGUAUUUUAGAGACUUUCGCUGCGCUGUACAAAUGCGAAAAUAUCACCACACACAGAGAGAAAGGCGAAGAGUAUAUUCGAUAUCUGCUGAAUUUGAUUGCUGCGACUCAUCUAACAAGUUGCCUUGACGAACGUGCCUCUGUCGUCUUAGAAUUAUGUUUGUUUUUGAGCAGCAAGGGUGAGGAUCCUCUCUACUUACUAACGAUUCGUCGUUUAAGAGAACUAGCAGAAAAGCGUAAGGAUGUGCUCCGUUUUAAGCUUAAAAUGGAAACAAUUUCCCAAAUUUCAUUCGUCGUUGAAGAUUUGCAAGACAGGUUGGUACGGGAUUUAGAUUUGUGCAACACUUCAUCUUCAAGCAAGGAGAAUGCAAAGUCGUUUUUGGAUGAUUUUAAGGACUUCAAGGUAUUUUCACGCCUUUUCUGUCACCUAAUUCAAGAAUCGAUCCCUACUCCUAUUCCAGCUAUUAAUUCUAUUUAUGACGGGAAAAUCGAUUCUCUACAUAGUGUAUUUCGUAAAUUGUUGAAAAAGAUGGAGCACCUGCUUGAAGCACUUCAAAUAGACUAUAGUGGCAAAGAAAAUGUCCGACCUGAAUGGUCUCUGUAUCUUGCCAUUUUAGAAGAACUGAAUUUCAUAUCUAAAAUUUUUGAGGAUGCAAACGAGGAAUUUUGGGAUGUAUUAAAGAAGACGAAGGUUUCAAUACGUGCACUGAUUCUUCGAUGCGCUGGUAGAACAGAUGACUAUGACUAUGGGUGGCUUCUUAAGCAUAAUGAUGUGACUGAUUCUGAAUCCAGGAUGCAUUUAGCCUUGUUGAUGAUACCUCAAGUAAAAGAACCUGAUGUGAAGACGAUUAAGAAGGUUUUUGAUUGGUCUCAGAAGAAUCUACCCCCUAACCUGUUGGGAGUUUUCGUGAAUGAGAAACUUACAGAUCCUCAAGUUUUGAAGGAUUGGUUGUGGAAGUCCAGU
Molecule: long non-coding RNA, 32935 nt
Filed under: Jatropha curcas
Lineage: Eukaryota; Viridiplantae; Streptophyta; Magnoliopsida; Malpighiales; Euphorbiaceae
Description: long non-coding RNA (JCUR_LNC000963)
Source: RNAcentral